This 1151-nucleotide long non-coding RNA is filed under the name Strigops habroptila (Kakapo). RNAcentral's name for it is "lncRNA (ENSSHBG00005019469.1)". Lineage: Eukaryota; Metazoa; Chordata; Aves; Psittaciformes; Psittacidae. The record is from RNAcentral.
AUCAUAGCUCCGUUUUUACCUAUUUCCCCAUCUGCCACAGUAAAUCCAGGCACUAUGUGUAGUCAGUGCAAUCUGGUAUCAUUUUCUACUCCUCAGGGGACCUUGGUUCAAACAAAUUCCUCUUACUCUCUGUAAUAGCCAUCUCUGCCCAUGUUCUCUGCUGUGAGGUAGGUGGCAGCAAGUCUAGCAGGUAAUGCUUUAACCAAGUGCAUUUCCUUCUGUAAAUCCCUCUAGGAAAUCUAUGCUCUUCUCAUCAGCUGUAUUUUCUGUUAAUGAUUCUUAAUUGAUGAUAGGAAUUGGACUAAAGCUGUUUCUGUUGAUCCUGCUGUGUUCAGCUACUUUCCUUACCGUUCUAAUUCUUCUAUUGUUCCUUGCGUAAAGAAGGGAAAUAUUACUCUUUUAGCACCUGAUGACAGAUGCAGAAGGUGCAGGGACAUUAACUUAAGUGAGGAUGGCAGAUGGACACCAGGAUAGGAAUUCUUGAUAGUUGUGGCAUGUCAAAUGACUGGGUGUUAAACAGAGAACCCACUGUUGACUUCAAAUAACCGUUUCCAGGUGGAUUGUGUAAAAGGCUAAUGCUAUCCAAGAGACCCAGGAAAACUGCUGUGUUUGUUCAGGAACUAGUUCAGAGCUUUCAAGGAGCUUUUGACAGUAGCAGAUGUGUCCUUGUGAUAUCAGCUAUAUGCAGAAUGAGAGAUGCUGUGGAAUAAAUGGUGCUGCUGCUCCUACUCCCUUCCCGUUCUGUGCUGGGACUUGGGAAGAAGAGGAGGGAAGUGUAUUUGUAUUCUUUUGGGGGUGGUGGGGGGAGGAAUGGUUGCAGUAUGGUGGGGAAGUAUAUGAUAAAUUUCAGAUUCCUGUUCACCUCUUUUAAGAAUAAAAUUUUAUUUUAUUUUUGUCCUUUUUUUUUUUUUUUUUUUCUUACUGUCUUUCUAUUACAUCCCUUAGCAGCCUUGGCUUCUAGGGGAAAACAUUGCUUGGUCAUUGCUGUUUACCUGACUCCAUGUAUGGAACUGUAAUUUUAAUGUCUCUUUUUCAAAACCAUUUGUACACGAAAUCAUUCCAUGAAUGGCUGCCUUAUAAUUUUUCCACUUUAAUUGUGAACGAUUAAAAUAAUGUUGCCAUUUUCAAUUUGUUUUAUUAUAUUAAAUUUU